Molecule: long non-coding RNA, 273 nt
Filed under: Dromaius novaehollandiae (emu)
Lineage: Eukaryota; Metazoa; Chordata; Aves; Casuariiformes; Dromaiidae
Description: lncRNA (ENSDNVG00000013633.1)
Source: RNAcentral
UGAACUGCUAGUCAGGAAAAAUGCAAUUCUGGAACUCCUUAGUGAAACAGCAAGGCAAAACAACAUCAGAGCAGUUGCCAAGUGAUCUUCUCCACAGUACCCAUGAACUUCAGCCUUGAACUGAAGAGGACUCAUCAAAUGGCUUGGGAGAUACAGCAUGGAAUUGGAAGAGAAGCAGGAAUCUGCAUGAAGGGCACUCAACUGCAGUCUUGGUGUGUGGAGGAGCAGGUCCUGUUCUCACUGUUGCUACUCCCACAUAGGUGGACUCUGUAA